CACACCCGCUGAGCGAGAGCCGAGGGCCUUGGCGGCUGCGGCGGCGACUUUGGCGUCCGAGAGAGGGCGCCCCGGGGUCGGGAUGCGGCGGAGCCCCCGCCCGGGCUCGGCCACGUCCCCUCACAAGCACACGCCCAACUUCUACAGCGACAACAGCAACAGCUCAGUGAGCGUCACCUCGGGGGACAGCAGCGGGCCCCGGUCAGCUGGACCGGGGCCCGGGGAGCCCGAGGGCAGAAGAGCCCGGGGCUCGAGCUGCGGUGAGCCCGCCUUGAGCGCAGGAGUGUCCGGAGGAACCACAUGGGCUGGAAGCUCUCGGCAGAAGCCUGCGCCUCGGAGCCACAAUGGGCCGACCGCCUGUGGCGCGGCAACCGUGAGGGGCGGGGCCUCGGAACCGGCUGGCCCUCCCGUAGUCUCUGAGGAGCAGCUCGACCUUCUCUCGACCCUGGAUCUGAGGCAGGAGAUGCCUCCACCGCGCGUGUCCAAGAGCUUCUUGAGUAUGGGCCAGGCCAGCCGGAACCCCUCUGACCCUCUGGCGCCCCUCUCUGAAUUCCAGUUCUCAUUUCUGAGAGACCGUUUUCGUUCUGAGCCGGGCCCAUGCCUGCUGUUGCAGGUGCUGAGCGUGUUGCUGUCCCUGGUUGGAGACGUGCUGAUCGUCGUGUACAGGGAGGUUUGUUCCAUCCGCUUCCUGCUCACGGCUGUGUCACUGCUGAGCCUCUUUCUGGCAGCACUCUGGUGGGGGCUGCUGUACCUGAUCCCUCCUUUGGAGAAUGAACCUAAAGAGAUGCUGACUCUAAGCGAGUACCAUGAGCGCGUACGCUCCCAGGGGCAGCAACUGCAGCAGCUCCAGGCCGAGUUGGAUAAACUGCACAAGGAAGUGUCCAGCGUUCGCGCAGCCAACAGCGAGAGAGUGGCCAAGCUUGUAUUCCAAAGGUUGAAUGAAGACUUUGUGAGGAAACCCGACUAUGCGCUGAGUUCUGUGGGGGCCUCCAUCGACCUUGAGAAGACAUCACACGAUUAUGAGGAUGCGAACACUGCCUAUUUCUGGAAUCGCUUCAGCUUCUGGAAUUACGCACGGCCGCCAACCGUUAUCCUGGAGCCAGAUGUAUUCCCGGGGAAUUGCUGGGCUUUUGAGGGCGACCAGGGCCAGGUGGUGAUCCGGCUACCGGGUCGUGUGCAACUAAGCGACAUCACCCUGCAGCACCCACCACCCAGUGUGGCACACACCGGAGGAGCCAAAAGCGCCCCCCGCGACUUCGCAGUCUACGGCCUCCAGGUUGAUGACGAGACUGAAGUUUUCUUGGGGAAAUUCACCUUCAAUGUGGAGAAAUCGGAGAUUCAGACUUUCCAUCUACAGGUCCCAGCUUGGGAAGGCCAGCAGGCUUCACCCAGGCAGGGCUGAACCUGUAUCCAGCUCUAGGACACCUAAGGAAGAGAAGGCCCUUAGAGUCUCCAUACUCCUCUAAUUCCCUUAGGGUGAGCUCAAUGGGACAGGACACGUUUAAACUUCUACAAGGAAAGCCCUAUUCCAGCUCCCUCUGAGAACCCAUCUGACAGCUGGAAACGGUGAAAUCCCCAGCCAAAAUCCAGAAAAACAGCUCCAGUGUUUUUUUUUUUUUUUUUUUAAUUUUAAUGUUGCUCCUAGAAUGUGUCUUGUAGACUCUGACCAGUCUGAUCAUCCCUCUUUGGAAGUUCCCUAAGAACAGAUCAGAGAAGAACACAUACUCCCAAAGGAGUGGGACCACAACUUCUACAAGUCACAUUUUGACUCCAUGCUUCUCACUUCAUAUGUUCUCUGAGGCAGUGUUUCCACAGAAUAAAGAAUGCUCAUAUCACUACUGCUGAGAAUAGUAAAACCCCUGAGGCUGCUUGAAGAUCUAUUGUGUACUAUGUAAACUAUGUUACAUUAAAACAAUGGAAUGCUGAGCAGUAGGUAAAAUUCAAGGGAGAACUAUAUUACAUUGGUAUUAUAUGGAAAAAAUAAAGUUGCAAAGAAUGGUAAGAAAAGUAUGACUCCACCUGAAACUUCAACUGUAUGUAUAUAUACACUGGAUUUGAAUACAUACACAAAAUAAAUACACGGAAAACAGAAGGUACACCAAAAAAUGCAAAGGUACACCUAAUGGAAGCAGAAUGAAGGUGAGGAUUUUAUAAUCUCAAUAUACUUCUGCAUUGUUUAAAUAUUUUAUAGUUUAUUUUGUAUUUUUUAAAGGACUUUGUUAGCUUUUUUCCCCAAUCCACAACUCAAGUCCUCUUGACUAUGCAAAGCCCAAAGCCUAUCUCCAGUUCAACAACCCCUACCCAACUUCAGGGUCACAGUUUCUUGCUUCUUCUCUGGCUUCUCAUUAGCACUGCCUCAGCUAGUCUUUCUUGUGUCAGCUUCCAGAGUCUCUACCUUAACUAGAAGCCCUGCAAAGCUGCCCAUGGCUCUUAGGUUCAGAGCCAAACUCCCCUAGCAAGACUACCUCAUGGCACAACCCCAGAGAGCACAUCUACACAGAAUUCGGUAGUUGUGUAAUAUGGUAACCCCGCAACCCUAAUUCAACCUUCAAAGCCCUUCCCAGUUUGCUCUUCCUCCUGCUAUCCCACCACCCAACCAACUAGUCAUCCAAAGCUAUUUCUGGUUACACCCACACACAUGCUGAUACUUCAGACUUUCCUAACAAAUGCCUUGUCAUCCAAAGUUCUGCUAUGACAUUAUUCCUUUAUGAAGCCUGACCCACAUUCUUCAAGUAAAAUUUAUUCUCUCUCCUCUGAAAGAUUACAUGGUUUCCCAAUCAUUUUCCUGCAAAUACACACAAGAUACUUCUGUGUUUAUUAGCAAAACAGAAACUAGACCAUACCAUUUCUCUGCUUAAAACUCUGGAAUGGCAUCCCAAAAGACUCAAAGUCCAAAGUUCUUUACCACAGUCUACAAGACUUCUCAGCAAGACCUGAUAGUUAUCUAACUAAUCAAUCUAGCCACACAAGUAUGUUGCAGCCAGGUUUCAUUUCUGACCCACAUACACACAUCAAUCUCAUUCCCUGUAUCAGAGCUUUUGUGCUAUCUUCAUCCAUAGAUACCGAAGAAAAUAGCUGUAUUAGAGUAGGAACCAUGUCUGGUUUGCCUAAUCUAUCUCCAGUACCUACAAUGGUACGUACCCUAUAGUAGGUACUCAGUAAAUUAAAUAUUAGUGAUUUAACACUGAAACUACCAUAUCAAAAUUUUGGCUUUUGUCUACCUUCAUGAUCUAUGGGCUCUUCGGAACUAGGGCUGGGUAUUAUUUCUGUAUCCCUAAUACCAGUGCUUAAUAUAUAGUCAGUACCUACAACUAUUGCUGAAUAAAUGGAACAUGUGCUUUUUUGCUCAACUCAAACUUCCAGGCCUUUCCAUUUAAAAUAUGUCCAGAAGUAAAUCUUCUCUAUCCUGAUUUU
Molecule: RNA transcript, 3414 nt
Organism: Canis lupus familiaris (dog)
Lineage: Eukaryota; Metazoa; Chordata; Mammalia; Carnivora; Canidae
Gene: SPAG4
Gene name: sperm associated antigen 4
Exons: 13
Source: RefSeq, a predicted model, not a curated record